This 501-nucleotide ribosomal RNA is filed under the name uncultured bacterium. RNAcentral describes it as "bacterial SSU rRNA". It matches the Rfam family "Bacterial small subunit ribosomal RNA", at positions 28 to 526 of the family's 1533-position model. The record is from RNAcentral.
GACGAACGCUGGCGGCGUGCUUAACACAUGCAAGUCGAGCGGGGAUGUAUGCUGGAAGCCUUCGGGUGAAAGGGAUAUAUUCUAGCGGCGGACGGGUGAGUAACGCGUGAGUAAUCUAUCCCUCAGCGGGGGAUAACACAAUGAAAAUUGUGCUAAUACCGCAUGAGACCACGGUGUCGCAUGGCACAGAGGUCAAAGGAGCAAUUCACUGAGGGGUGAGCUCGCGUCCCAUUAGCUAGUUGGUGAGGUAACGGCCCACCAAGGCAACGAUGGGUAGCCGGCCUGAGAGGGCGAUCGGCCACACUGGAACUGAGAGACGGUCCAGACUCCUACGGGAGGCAGCAGUGGGGAAUAUUGGGCAAUGGGGGAAACCCUGACCCAGCAACGCCGCGUGAGGGAAGAAGGCUUUCGGGUCGUAAACCUCUGUCCCAUGUGAAGAGAAGAAGACGGUAGCAUGGGAGGAAGCCCCGGCUAACUACGUGCCAGCCGCCGCAGUAACAC